RNAcentral lists this ribosomal RNA (1449 nucleotides) under Klebsiella aerogenes KCTC 2190. RNAcentral describes it as "bacterial SSU rRNA". It matches the Rfam family "Bacterial small subunit ribosomal RNA". Lineage: Bacteria; Pseudomonadati; Pseudomonadota; Gammaproteobacteria; Enterobacterales; Enterobacteriaceae. The record is from RNAcentral.
UUGAACGCUGGCGGCAGGCCUAACACAUGCAAGUCGAGCGGUGAGCACAGAGAGCUUGCUCUCGGGUGACGAGCGGCGGACGGGUGAGUAAUGUCUGGGAAACUGCCUGAUGGAGGGGGAUAACUACUGGAAACGGUAGCUAAUACCGCAUAACGUCGCAAGACCAAAGUGGGGGACCUUCGGGCCUCAUGCCAUCAGAUGUGCCCAGAUGGGAUUAGCUAGUAGGUGGGGUAAUGGCUCACCUAGGCGACGAUCCCUAGCUGGUCUGAGAGGAUGACCAGCCACACUGGAACUGAGACACGGUCCAGACUCCUACGGGAGGCAGCAGUGGGGAAUAUUGCACAAUGGGCGCAAGCCUGAUGCAGCCAUGCCGCGUGUAUGAAGAAGGCCUUCGGGUUGUAAAGUACUUUCAGCGAGGAGGAAGGCGUUAAGGUUAAUAACCUUGGCGAUUGACGUUACUCGCAGAAGAAGCACCGGCUAACUCCGUGCCAGCAGCCGCGGUAAUACGGAGGGUGCAAGCGUUAAUCGGAAUUACUGGGCGUAAAGCGCACGCAGGCGGUCUGUCAAGUCGGAUGUGAAAUCCCCGGGCUCAACCUGGGAACUGCAUUCGAAACUGGCAGGCUAGAGUCUUGUAGAGGGGGGUAGAAUUCCAGGUGUAGCGGUGAAAUGCGUAGAGAUCUGGAGGAAUACCGGUGGCGAAGGCGGCCCCCUGGACAAAGACUGACGCUCAGGUGCGAAAGCGUGGGGAGCAAACAGGAUUAGAUACCCUGGUAGUCCACGCCGUAAACGAUGUCGACUUGGAGGUUGUGCCCUUGAGGCGUGGCUUCCGGAGCUAACGCGUUAAGUCGACCGCCUGGGGAGUACGGCCGCAAGGUUAAAACUCAAAUGAAUUGACGGGGGCCCGCACAAGCGGUGGAGCAUGUGGUUUAAUUCGAUGCAACGCGAAGAACCUUACCUACUCUUGACAUCCAGAGAACUUAGCAGAGAUGCUUUGGUGCCUUCGGGAACUCUGAGACAGGUGCUGCAUGGCUGUCGUCAGCUCGUGUUGUGAAAUGUUGGGUUAAGUCCCGCAACGAGCGCAACCCUUAUCCUUUGUUGCCAGCGGUCCGGCCGGGAACUCAAAGGAGACUGCCAGUGAUAAACUGGAGGAAGGUGGGGAUGACGUCAAGUCAUCAUGGCCCUUACGAGUAGGGCUACACACGUGCUACAAUGGCAUAUACAAAGAGAAGCGACCUCGCGAGAGCAAGCGGACCUCAUAAAGUAUGUCGUAGUCCGGAUUGGAGUCUGCAACUCGACUCCAUGAAGUCGGAAUCGCUAGUAAUCGUAGAUCAGAAUGCUACGGUGAAUACGUUCCCGGGCCUUGUACACACCGCCCGUCACACCAUGGGAGUGGGUUGCAAAAGAAGUAGGUAGCUUAACCUUCGGGAGGGCGCUUACCACUUUGUGAUC